RNAcentral lists this ribosomal RNA (408 nucleotides) under uncultured Flavobacterium sp. RNAcentral's name for it is "bacterial SSU rRNA". It matches the Rfam family "Bacterial small subunit ribosomal RNA", at positions 1 to 416 of the family's 1533-position model. Lineage: Bacteria; Pseudomonadati; Bacteroidota; Flavobacteriia; Flavobacteriales; Flavobacteriaceae. The record is from RNAcentral.
UGACGAGUUUGAUCCUGGCUCAGGACGAACGCUGGCGGCGUGCUUAACACAUGCAAGUCGAGGGGUAUAGUUCUUCGGAGCUAGAGACCGGCGCACGGGUGCGUAACGCGUAUGCAAUCUACCUUUUACAGAGGGAUAGCCCAGAGAAAUUUGGAUUAAUACCUCAUAGUAUUUUCGAAUCGCAUGGUUUUCACAUUAAAGUUCCAACGGUAAAAGAUGAGCAUGCGUCCCAUUAGCUAGAUGGUAAGGUAACGGCUUACCAUGGCUACGAUAGGUAGGGGUCCUGAGAGGGAGAUCCCCCACACUGGUACUGAGACACGGACCAGACUCCUACGGGAGCAGCAGUGAGAAUUUUCUGCAAUGGGGCGAAAGCCUGACAGAGCAAUACCCGCGUGAGGGAUGAAAGCC